AGGCAUGUCUAAGCACACCAUCUAGUGUCUACUGACAGAACUGCAGUCGCCGCCAACUGUUGCGUCGGCUCUACAUUAUCGAAGAAUCAAGUUAGGUUCUAUUUCAUGUAUGACGAGCUUUCAAAUGUUAUUACACAGACAGUGGUGUCAUUCUUUUUUUUCAUAAUGUAAAGCUGUCCACCCCUUCCCCAACUUGGCAGCAAUUUGGCCAUGUGUGGGGAAACUCAUUGACCUACAGGCUAUUCAAGGUCUUGUCUGAUUAUUUUCACUCUCCUGCAGGUGGUGGUUGCCGGUGGCUGGUGCUGGUGAUGGUGGAUGCGGCUGAUGGUGGAUGCGGCUGAUGGUGGAUGCGGCUGAUGGCGGUGGCUGCUGCUGCUGGUGGCUUGAGCUGGCUGGUGCCGGCAAACACUGCUGCUGCUGGUCGCUGCUGCUUGAGGCGAUGGCUGCAUGAGCUGGCUGGUGGUGGCGAAGGAUGGUGGUGUCGAUUUCUGCUGCUAGUGGUGGCGGCUUGUGCUGGCGACGGCUGUUGGUGGUGGCGACUGCCGGUGGCUGCUGGUGGUGGUGGCGGCGGCGACGGCUGCGAUUGUUGUUCUUCCUUUCGACCUGAUGCACUUUGCUAUCCUUAACCUCAGCCUGAUGUAUGUGGAGUAUUUUCUUUGUUUAUUAAUAACUUAUAAUAUUCCUCCCUGUUCCUUCACUUUGUUCUUGUUUUACAAGUGAGAUAUAUAUGCACACCUGGUUACACAUUUGUUGUUCUGGUUCCACACAUGAUUAAAUUUGUUUUAUUUAUUGAUACCCCCUGGCUCUACUUUGCUGUUUUGUUCACACUUACUUCAUGUUUCUUUCGUUGUUCUUAGUCAUACUUGUUCCCACUUGUUUUUGGUUCCACAAACCUCAGCCUGAUAUAUGUGGGGAGGAUUUUUUUCUAAACACGCAUCUGAAACACUGGGUCCAGCUUUACAUGGUGCAACCUCCUUUGCAGCGUGCAGAUGUUAGGCAGUGAAUCUGCAUUUGCUGGAGGGUUUUAUAACCAGUGGUCCAUUUUAUUUAGUUGUCUUGCCUUCUCUUUGGAUUGAAUGGCUCUUCUGCUCCCAACGUAGAGCUCUCCUUCUGCAGUGAACAUUCAUCAAAGAACUUUCAUCAUUAAAGAGCUAUCUUACCAAGA
Gadus macrocephalus (Pacific cod) is the source of this 1165-nucleotide long non-coding RNA. RefSeq lists it as uncharacterized. The transcript has 2 exons. Lineage: Eukaryota; Metazoa; Chordata; Actinopteri; Gadiformes; Gadidae. The record is from RefSeq and is a predicted model, not a curated record.